This 206-nucleotide ribosomal RNA is filed under the name Bacillus subtilis. Its description in RNAcentral is "partial 16S ribosomal RNA". It matches the Rfam family "Bacterial small subunit ribosomal RNA", at positions 1085 to 1293 of the family's 1533-position model. Lineage: Bacteria; Bacillati; Bacillota; Bacilli; Caryophanales; Bacillaceae. The record is from RNAcentral.
UUCGGGCGAAGGCGCACCCUCUGAUCUUAGUUGCCAGCAUUCAGUUGGGCACUCUAAGGUGACUGCCGGUGACAAACCGGAGGAAGGUGGGGAUGACGUCCAUCAUCAUGCCCCUUAUGACCUGGGCUACACACGGGCUACAAUGGACAGAACAAAGGGCAACGAAACCCCGAGGUUAACCCAAUCCCACAAAUCUGUUCGCACUU